This is a long non-coding RNA of Camelus dromedarius (Arabian camel), 1029 nucleotides long. RefSeq lists it as uncharacterized. The transcript has 2 exons. Lineage: Eukaryota; Metazoa; Chordata; Mammalia; Artiodactyla; Camelidae. The record is from RefSeq and is a predicted model, not a curated record.
GGUCCUGCGCUGCUGGAGGGCAGGGCUGGACACACAGCGGAUGCCAGGCGGAUGUCAGGUGUCCAGGGAGCAGCAGGCAGGUUCUUGUCUCUGGCUGUGCUGCGGAAGCCUGGGGUCUCCCAGACCCCUGACAAAGGCUCCUGGGGGGAUGGGGAUGCUGAAGGUUUUGCUGGGCUCCUUACCAAGCUGGUGAGAGCCCACCUUUUACACAUGAGGAAGCCAAGACCCAGGAAGGUGAGGUCGCUUGCCCAGGAUCACCCCGCUGGAAACUUCAGGCCCUGGGUUGUCCAGAACAAGGUCCACGUGAAGCCGCAAAGCAACUGCACAGGAUCGUCAUCCAAGCUGGCUGCUGUGGCCAUGAGCCUGCCUGUACCAGGGGGUUCCGGAAACCUGCGUGCACCCAGACCUUCACACACGGAUGCUGGUUCUGCAAGCCCCGCGGGUUCUGGUGGAGACAUUAACAAGGGCAGCGCUGCCUCUCUGAGCCCAGCCCUGGGCCCCACACUGGCCUGAGCACCCACACGUGUUUCAUCAUAGGGCCUUCUAGGCACCCUCCCUGGGGUGGGGGCUGCUGCUUUUUCCGUUUUCAGGUGGGGAAAGAGAGGCUCAGAGAGGUGUGGUGACUUCCCUUAGGUCCCACCUCGCUGAGUGCCAGAGGUGGGAUCAGAAUCCACUUCUUCUUUUUAAUCUUUUUUUUUUAAUUGAAGUACAGUCAGUUUACAAUGUUGUGUCAAUUUGUAGUAUACAGCAUAAUGUUUCAGUCAUACAUAUACAUACAUAUAUUCCAUUUCGUAUUCUUUUUCAUUAUAGGCCUCUACAAGAUAUCGAAUGUAGUUCCCUGUGCUAUACAGUAGAAACUUGUUUUUCCAUUUUAUAUACAGCAGUUAGUACCUGCAAAUCCUUGAACUCCCAAUUUAUCCCUUCCCACCCCCUUUCCCCCUGCUGGUAACUAUAAGUUUGUUUUCUAUGUCUGUGAGUCUGUUUCUGUUUUGUAAAUAAGUUCAUAUGCAUCUUUUUUUUUAGAUUCCA